AAUGNUUUGCCUAUCAUUACUGAUCCAUAGGUUAUGAGGCGACCGGGGGACUUAAUCAUCUAAGUACCCCGAGGAAAAGAAAUCAACCGAGAUUCCCUCAGUAGCGGCGAGCGAACGGGGAGGAGCCCAGAGCCUGAAUCAGUGUGUGUGUUAGUGGAAGCGUCUGGAAAGGCGUGCGAUACAGGGUGACAGCCCCGUACACAAAAAUGCACAUAUUGUGAGCUCGAUGAGUAGGGCGGGACACGUGGUAUCCUGUCUGAAUAUGGGGGGACCAUCCUCCAAGGUUAAAUACUCCUGACUGACCGAUAGUGAACCAGUACCGUGAGGGAAAGGCUAAAUUA
Molecule: ribosomal RNA, 341 nt
Filed under: Escherichia coli
Lineage: Bacteria; Pseudomonadati; Pseudomonadota; Gammaproteobacteria; Enterobacterales; Enterobacteriaceae
Description: bacterial LSU rRNA
Rfam family: Bacterial large subunit ribosomal RNA
Source: RNAcentral